This 234-nucleotide small RNA is filed under the name Arabidopsis thaliana (thale cress). Its description in RNAcentral is "ATSL037460". Lineage: Eukaryota; Viridiplantae; Streptophyta; Magnoliopsida; Brassicales; Brassicaceae. The record is from RNAcentral.
UCCCCAAACUUUAUAACCAAAAUCCUACUUUAGCUUCUGGAAGUUGGUUGCGGUUCUAGUUCUUAUGCUCAACGAUACACAAAGCAUCUAGUAAUAUUUGGCUAUAAAUCCGCUAAUAAAGCCACUUCUUGAUUCUCAAAGCUUUGAUGGUGAAGUCAAAGAUCUUAUGAGUUUUUAGUCUUGAAUCGUAUAACAAGGAAGCACUACUUUACUUUUCGGGAUCUAGUUGAGGUU